This 482-nucleotide ribosomal RNA is filed under the name uncultured bacterium. RNAcentral describes it as "bacterial SSU rRNA". It matches the Rfam family "Bacterial small subunit ribosomal RNA", at positions 29 to 490 of the family's 1533-position model. The record is from RNAcentral.
AACGAACGUUAGCGGCGCGCUUAACACAUGCAAGUCGAACGAGAAAGGGCUUCGGCCCCGGUAAAGUGGCGCACGGGUGAGUAACACGUGGGUAACCUGCCCUCGAGCGGGGGAUAACAUUCCGAAAGGAGUGCUAAUACCGCAUAAGACCACGAUCUCGAAAGAGGACGAGGUAAAAGCUGGCCUCUAUACAUAAGCUAGCACUUGAGGAUGGGCCCGCGGCGCAUCAGGUAGUUGGUGAGGUAAUGGCUCACCAAGCCUAAGACGCGUAGCUGGUCUGAGAGGAUGAUCAGCCACACUGGAACUGAGACACGGUCCAGACUCCUACGGGAGGCAGCAGUGGGGAAUCUUGCGCAAUGGGCGAAAGCCUGACGCAGCGACGCCGCGUGAGUGACGAAGGUCUUCGGGUCGUAAAGCUCUGUGGGGCGAGACGAAUAAGUGCAGCCUAAUACGCUGCAUGAUGACGGUAUCGCCUUAGCAAG